UACGUAGGGGGCAAGCGUUGUCCGGAUUUAUUGGGCGUAAAGAGCGUGUAGGCGGCCCCUUAAGUCCUGCGUGAAAUCCUGCGGCUCAACCUCAGACGGUCGUGGGAAACUGGAGGGCUAGAGUGCGGGAGAGGAGAGUGGAAUUCCCGGUGUAGCGGUGAAAUGCGCAGAUAUCGGGAAGAACACCCGUGGCGAAGGCGGCUCUCUGGGACGGUACUGACGCUGAGACGCGAAAGCGUGGGGAGCGAACAGG
Molecule: ribosomal RNA, 253 nt
Filed under: uncultured bacterium
Lineage: Bacteria
Description: partial 16S ribosomal RNA
Rfam family: Bacterial small subunit ribosomal RNA
Source: RNAcentral